GGAUGAGUUGCGAACGGGUGAGUAACGCGUAGGUAACCUGCCUGGUAGCGGGGGAUAACUAUUGGAAACGAUAGCUAAUACCGCAUAAGAGUAGAUGUUGCAUGACAUUUGCUUAAAAGGUGCAAUUGCAUCACUACCAGAUGGACCUGCGUUGUAUUAGCUAGUUGGUGAGGUAACGGCUCACCAAGGCAACGAUACAUAGCCGACCUGAGAGGGUGAUCGGCCUCACUGGGACUGAGACACGGCCCAGACUCCUACGGGAGGCAGCAGUAGGGAAUCUUCGGCAAUGGACGGAAGUCUGACCGAGCAACGCCGCGUGAGUGAAGAAGGUUUUCGGAUCGUAAAGCUCUGUUGUAAGAGAAGAACGAGUGUGAGAGUGGAAAGUUCACACUGUGACGGUAUCUUACCAGAAAGGGACGGCUAACUACGUGCCAGCAGCCGCGGUAAUACGUAGGUCCCGAGCGUUGUCCGGAUUUAUUGGGCGUAAAGCGAGCGCAGGCGGUUAGAUAAGUCUGAAGUUAAAGGCUGUGGCUUAACCAUAGUACGCUUUGGAAACUGUUUUACUUGAGUGCAAGAGGGGAGAGUGGAAUUCCAUGUGUAGCGGUGAAAUGCGUAGAUAUAUGGAGGUACACCGGUGGCGAAAGCGGCUCUCUGGCUUGUAACUGACGCUGAGGCUCGAAAGCGUGGGGAGCAAACAGGAUUAGAUAGCCUGGUAGUCCACGCCGUAAACGAUGAGUGCUAGGUGUUAGACCCUU
Molecule: ribosomal RNA, 755 nt
Filed under: uncultured Streptococcus sp.
Lineage: Bacteria; Bacillati; Bacillota; Bacilli; Lactobacillales; Streptococcaceae
Description: bacterial SSU rRNA
Rfam family: Bacterial small subunit ribosomal RNA
Source: RNAcentral